Molecule: ribosomal RNA, 466 nt
Filed under: Vreelandella stevensii
Lineage: Bacteria; Pseudomonadati; Pseudomonadota; Gammaproteobacteria; Oceanospirillales; Halomonadaceae
Description: partial 16S ribosomal RNA
Rfam family: Bacterial small subunit ribosomal RNA
Source: RNAcentral
CCUACGGGGGGCAGCAGUGGGGAAUAUUGGACAAUGGGGGGAACCCUGAUCCAGCCAUGCCGCGUGUGUGAAGAAGGCCCUCGGGUUGUAAAGCACUUUCAGUGAGGAAGAACGCCUGGUGGUUAAUACCCAUCAGGAAAGACAUCACUCACAGAAGAAGCACCGGCUAACUCCGUGCCAGCAGCCGCGGUAAUACGGAGGGUGCGAGCGUUAAUCGGAAUUACUGGGCGUAAAGCGCGCGUAGGUGGCUUGAUAAGCCGGUUGUGAAAGCCCCGGGCUCAACCUGGGAACGGCAUCCGGAACUGUCAAGCUAGAGUGCAGGAGAGGAAGGUAGAAUUCCCGGUGUAGCGGUGAAAUGCGUAGAGAUCGGGAGGAAUACCAGUGGCGAAGGCGGCCUUCUGGACUGACACUGACACUGAGGUGCGAAAGCGUGGGUAGCAAACAGGAUUAGAUACCCCUUGUAGUC